GAUGAACGCUGGCGGCGUGCUUAACACAUGCAAGUCGAACGGUGAACACGGAGCUUGCUCUGUGGGAUCAGUGGCGAACGGGUGAGUAACACGUGAGCAACCUGCCCCUGACUCAGGGAUAAGCGCUGGAAACGGCGUCUAAUACUGGAUAUGUUACGUGACCGCAUGGUCUGCGUUUGGAAAGAUUUUUCGGUUGGGGAUGGGCUCGCGGCCAAUCAGCUCGUUGGUGAGGUAAUGGCUCACCAAGGCGUCGACGGGUAGCCGGCAUGGGAGGGUGACCGGCCACAAUGGGAUUGAGACACGGCCCAGACUCCUACGGGAGGCAGCAGUGGGGAAUAUUGCACAAUGGGCGAAAGCCUGAUGCAGCAACGCCGCGUGAGGGAUGACGGCCUUCGGGUUGUAAACCUUUUUUAGCAGGGAAGAAGCGAAAGUGACGGUACCUGCAGAAAAAGCGCCGGCUAACUACGUG
RNAcentral lists this ribosomal RNA (469 nucleotides) under uncultured bacterium. RNAcentral describes it as "partial 16S ribosomal RNA". It matches the Rfam family "Bacterial small subunit ribosomal RNA", at positions 28 to 507 of the family's 1533-position model. The record is from RNAcentral.